This 200-nucleotide ribosomal RNA is filed under the name uncultured bacterium. RNAcentral describes it as "partial 16S ribosomal RNA". It matches the Rfam family "Bacterial small subunit ribosomal RNA", at positions 29 to 219 of the family's 1533-position model. The record is from RNAcentral.
AACGAACGCUGGCGGCGCGCCUAAUACAUGCAAGUCGAGCGGGAAGACGUAGCAAUACGUUUGUAAAGCGGCGAACGGGUGAGGAAUACAUGGGUAACCUACCCUCGAGUGGGGAAUAACUAGCCGAAAGGUUAGCUAAUACCGCGUACGCUCCUUGGACUUCGGUUCAGGGAGGAAAGCGAUACCGUGGGUAUCGCGCC